RNAcentral lists this ribosomal RNA (373 nucleotides) under uncultured bacterium. Its description in RNAcentral is "bacterial SSU rRNA". It matches the Rfam family "Bacterial small subunit ribosomal RNA", at positions 527 to 898 of the family's 1533-position model. The record is from RNAcentral.
GUAGGGGGCAAGCGUUGUCCGGAAUUAUUGGGCGUAAAGAGCGUGUAGGCGGUCCGGUAAGUCGGCUGUGAAAGUCCAGGGCUCAACCCUGGGAUGCCGGUCGAUACUGCCGGACUAGAGUUCGGAAGAGGCGAGUGGAAUUCCCGGUGUAGCGGUGAAAUGCGCAGAUAUCGGGAGGAACACCUAUGGCGAAGGCAGCUCGCUGGGACGUUACUGACGCUGAGACGCGAAAGCGUGGGGAGCAAACAGGAUUAGAUACCCUGGUAGUCCACGCCGUAAACGAUGGGCACUAGGUGUGGGAGGUGUCGACUCCUCCCGUGCCGGAGCUAACGCAUUAAGUGCCCCGCCUGGGGAGUACGGCCGCAAGGCUAAA